ACUGAACGCUGGCGGCAGGCCUAACACAUGCAAGUCGAACGGUAACAGGAAACAGCUUGCUGUUUCGCUGACGAGUGGCGGACGGGUGAGUAAUGUCUGGGAAACUGCCUGAUGGAGGGGGAUAACUACUGGAAACGGUAGCUAAUACCGCAUAACGUCGCAAGACCAAAGAGGGGGACCUUCGGGCCUCUUGCCAUCGGAUGUGCCCAGAUGGGAUUAGCUAGUAGGUGGGGUAACGGCUCACCUAGGCGACGAUCCCUAGCUGGUCUGAGAGGAUGACCAGCCACACUGGAACUGAGACACGGUCCAGACUCCUACGGGAGGCAGCAGUGGGGAAUAUUGCACAAUGGGCGCAAGCCUGAUGCAGCCAUGCCGCGUGUAUGAAGAAGGCCUUCGGGUUGUAAAGUACUUUCAGCGGGGAGGAAGGGAGUAAAGUUAAUACCUUUACUCAUUGACGUUACCCGCAGAAGAAGCACCGGCUAACUCCGUG
RNAcentral lists this ribosomal RNA (490 nucleotides) under uncultured bacterium. RNAcentral's name for it is "partial 16S ribosomal RNA". It matches the Rfam family "Bacterial small subunit ribosomal RNA", at positions 30 to 507 of the family's 1533-position model. The record is from RNAcentral.